GGAAGUAAAAGUCGUAACAAGGUCUCCGUUGGUGAACCAGCGGAGGGAUCAUUACCGAGUUUACAACUCCCAAACCCCUGUGAACAUACCUAUACGUUGCCUCGGCGGAUCAGCCCGCGCCCCGUAAAACGGGACGGCCCGCCCGAGGACCCUAAACUCUGUUUUUAGUGGAACUUCUGAGUAAAACAAACAAAUAAAUCAAAACUUUCAACAACGGAUCUCUUGGUUCUGGCAUCGAUGAAGAACGCAGCAAAAUGCGAUAAGUAAUGUGAAUUGCAGAAUUCAGUGAAUCAUCGAAUCUUUGAACGCACAUUGCGCCCGCCAGUAUUCUGGCGGGCAUGCCUGUUCGAGCGUCAUUUCAACCCUCAAGCUCAGCUUGGUGUUGGGACUCGCGGUAACCCGCGUUCCCCAAAUCGAUUGGCGGUCACGUCGAGCUUCCAUAGCGUAGUAAUAAUACACCUCGUUACUGGUAAUCGUCGCGGCCACGCCGUAAAACCCCAACUUCUGAAUGUUGACCUCGGAUCAGGUAGGAAUACCCGCUGAACUUAAGCAUAU
RNAcentral lists this ribosomal RNA (555 nucleotides) under Fusarium sp. Its description in RNAcentral is "partial 18S ribosomal RNA". The stretch from base 203 to 356 matches the Rfam family "5.8S ribosomal RNA". The record is from RNAcentral. Lineage: Eukaryota; Fungi; Ascomycota; Sordariomycetes; Hypocreales; Nectriaceae.